This 290-nucleotide long non-coding RNA is filed under the name Elaeis guineensis (African oil palm). RNAcentral's name for it is "long non-coding RNA (EGUI_LNC047448)". The record is from RNAcentral. Lineage: Eukaryota; Viridiplantae; Streptophyta; Magnoliopsida; Arecales; Arecaceae.
GGCUGACACAUAUUUUUUUCUAGGAUAUAUUUUAUACUUGAUGGACAGUCUUUAUUACCAAUCAUAUCUUAUGUGUCAUUGAUUUAUCUUAAAAAUUAACAAAGAUAAUUUUGUAUAUUCUCAAGAUGUUGAGAAUUUGAGAUAUACAUCAUUAGUGGUUAAUUUCUGAAUGCUUUCGAUCGAAGGACCGUCACGGAGGACAGUGAUCUAUCCAUUCAAGAUUGAUGCACAGAUCACCUCUCUUAGGACAGAUGAGUCUCGAGUCUGCGGUGUAGGGACAUUGGGGUAAG